UGGCCUAACMCAUGCAAGUCGAGCGGCAGCGGGGAAAGUAGCUUGCUACUUUUGCCGGCGAGCGGCGGACGGGUGAGUAAUGCCUGGGAAAUUGCCCAGUCGAGGGGGAUAACAGUUGGAAACGACUGCUAAUACCGCAUACGCCCUACGGGGGAAAGCAGGGGNACCUUCGGGCCUUGCGCGAUUGGAUAUGCCCAGGUGGGAUUAGCUAGUUGGUGAGGUAAUGGCUCACCAAGGCGACGAUACCCUAGCUGGUCUGAGAGGAUGAUCAGNCACACUGGAACUGAGACACGGUCCAGACUCCUACGGGAGGCAGCAGUGGGGAAUAUUGCACAAUGGGGGAAACCCUGAUGCAGCCAUGACCGCGUGUGUGAAGAAGGCCUUCGGGUUGNAAAGCACUUUCANCGAGGAGGAAAGGUCAGUAGCUAAUAUCUGCUGGNUGUGACGUUACUCGCAGAAGAAGCUACAGU
Molecule: ribosomal RNA, 470 nt
Filed under: Aeromonas caviae
Lineage: Bacteria; Pseudomonadati; Pseudomonadota; Gammaproteobacteria; Aeromonadales; Aeromonadaceae
Description: bacterial SSU rRNA
Rfam family: Bacterial small subunit ribosomal RNA
Source: RNAcentral